This 366-nucleotide long non-coding RNA is filed under the name Physcomitrium patens. RNAcentral's name for it is "long non-coding RNA (PPAT_LNC000977)". The record is from RNAcentral. Lineage: Eukaryota; Viridiplantae; Streptophyta; Bryopsida; Funariales; Funariaceae.
UUUGGCUAUCUGAAAUCAAUUAUCAAACUACAAAAUACCAAGGCUUACUACUUCCAUCUUGAUUCAACACAUAAUCCAUUCUAUGACUAUCAAUUCAAUAAUACUUCUCUCAAUCACAAUUCUUCAUAAGCAAAUAAUAAAAGCAAAGAAAACAAAGAAGUAGCACCAAGCUUACCUCGGCUUACGACUCUCACAGUCUGGCUCUCUGCUUACGACUCUCACAGUCUAGCUCUUUGCUUACGACUCUCACAGUCUGGCUCUCGAAUUACAAUUCUCAUAGUCUGGCUUUGAUCUCUCUUUUCUCAAUCUAUUUAUCCUACCAAAAAAGAUGAUCCAUCGGCUAGUGGAUUCCAAAGGUUAUGACCC